Molecule: ribosomal RNA, 516 nt
Filed under: uncultured Bacteroidota bacterium
Lineage: Bacteria; Pseudomonadati; Bacteroidota
Description: uncultured Bacteroidetes bacterium partial 16S ribosomal RNA
Source: RNAcentral
CACGGAGUUAGCCGAUGCUUUUUCUCCGGGUACUCUCAGCUGUGUCACACGUGACACAGCUUGCUCCCCGGUAAAAGAGGUUUACAAUCCAUAGGACCGUCUUCCCUCACGCGACUUGGCUGGUUCAGGCUCGCGCCCAUUGACCAAUAUUCCUCACUGCUGCCUCCCGUAGGAGUCUGGUCCGUGUCUCAGUACCAGUGUGGGGGACCUUCCUCUCAGAACCCCUACGCAUCGUCGCCUCGGUGGGCCGUUACCCCGCCGACUAGCUAAUGCGCCGCAUGCCCAUCCCUGGCCGGAAUCGCUUCCUUUGAUCCUAACGGGAUGUCCCGCAAGGAUGUUACGCGGUAUUAGACCGGAUUUCUCCGGCUUACUCCCCCAGCCAGGGGCAGGUUGCAUACGUGUUACUCGCCCGUGCGCCGGUCGCCGGCGGAUGAAGCAAGCUCAUCCCCGCUCGCCCCUCGACUUGCAUGUGUUAACGCCUUGUCGCUAGCCGUUCGACUCCCGUAGCGACGAGUA